RNAcentral lists this ribosomal RNA (253 nucleotides) under uncultured bacterium. RNAcentral describes it as "partial 16S ribosomal RNA". It matches the Rfam family "Bacterial small subunit ribosomal RNA", at positions 524 to 776 of the family's 1533-position model. The record is from RNAcentral.
UACGGGGGGGGCAAGCGUUGUUCGGAAUUACUGGGCGUAAAGGGCGCGUAGGCGGUCCGCUAAGUUGGAUGUGAAAACUCUGGGCUUAACCCAGAGCCUGCAUCCAAAACUGGCAAACUUGAGUACUGGAGGGGAAAGCGGAAUUCCUGGUGUAGCGGUGAAAUGCGUAGAUAUCAGGAGGAACACCGGUGGCGAAGGCGGCAUCCUGGACCAUUACUGACACUGAAUAGCGAAAGCCAGGGGAGCAAACGGG